UGGGGAAUAUUGCACAAUGGAGGGAACUCUGAUGCAGCGACGCCGCGUGAGUGAUGAAGGAAUUCGUUUCGUAAAACUCUGUUCUAUGGGAAGAAAAGGACUGUACCAUAGGAGAAAGCUCCGGCUAAAUACGUGCCAGCAGCCGCGGUAAUACGUAUGGAGCGAGCGUUGUCCGGAAUUAUUGGGCGUAAAGGGUGCGCAGGCGGCUUUACAAGUUGGAUGUGAAAUAUUGUGGCUCAACCACAAACGUGCAUCCAAAACUGCAAAGCUUGAGUUAAGGAGAGGUAAGUGGAAUUCCUGGUGUAGCGGUGGAAUGCGUAGAUAUCAGGAGGAAUACCGGUGGCGAAGGCGACUUACUGGACUCAAACUGACGCUCAGGCACGAAAGCGUGGGGAGCAAACAGG
Molecule: ribosomal RNA, 404 nt
Filed under: Fusobacteriota bacterium
Lineage: Bacteria; Fusobacteriati; Fusobacteriota
Description: Fusobacteria bacterium partial 16S ribosomal RNA
Rfam family: Bacterial small subunit ribosomal RNA
Source: RNAcentral